This 465-nucleotide ribosomal RNA is filed under the name uncultured bacterium. Its description in RNAcentral is "partial 16S ribosomal RNA". It matches the Rfam family "Bacterial small subunit ribosomal RNA", at positions 338 to 795 of the family's 1533-position model. The record is from RNAcentral.
CCUACGGGAGGCAGCAGUAGGGAAUCUUCCACAAUGGGCGAAAGCCUGAUGGAGCAACGCCGCGUGGGUGAAGAAGGUCUUCGGAUCGUAAAACCCUGUUGUUAGAGAAGAAAGUGCGUGAGAGUAACUGUUAACGUUUCGACGGUAUCUAACCAGAAAGCAACGGCUAACUACGUGCCAGCAGCCGCGGUAAUACGUAGGGGGCAAGCGUUAUCCGGAUUUAUUGGGCGUAAAGGGAACGCAGGCGGUCUUUUAAGUCUGAUGUGAAAGCCUUCGGCUGAACCGGAGGAGUGCAUUGGAAACGGGGAGACAUGAGUGCAGAAGAGGAGAGUGGAACUCCAUGGGUAGCGGUGAAAUGCGUAGAUAUAUGGAGGAACACCAGUGGCGAAGGCGGCUCUCUGGUCUGUAACUGACGCUGAGGUUCGAAAGCGUGGGUAGCAAACAGGAUUAGAGACCCCAGUAGUC